UACGGAGGAUGCGAGCGUUAUUCGGAUUUAUUGGGUUUAAAGGGUGCGCAGGCGGAUUUUUAAGUCAGCGGUCAAAUCGUGGGGCUCAACCCCAUCCAGCCGUUGAAACUGGGGAUCUAGAGUGUGCGAGAGGUAUGCGGAAUGCGUGGUGUAGCGGUGAAAUGCAUAGAUAUCACGCAGAACCCCGAUUGCGAAGGCAGCAUACCGGUGCACAACUGACGCUCAGGCACGAAAGCGUGGGUAUCGAACAGG
This 252-nucleotide ribosomal RNA is filed under the name uncultured bacterium. Its description in RNAcentral is "partial 16S ribosomal RNA". It matches the Rfam family "Bacterial small subunit ribosomal RNA", at positions 524 to 776 of the family's 1533-position model. The record is from RNAcentral.